AUACAGAGGGUGCGAGCGUUAAUCGGAAUUACUGGGCGUAAAGCGCGCGUAGGCGGCUUAUUAAGUCAGAUGUGAAAUCCCCGGGCUCAACCUGGGAACUGCAUCUGAUACUGGUAAGCUAGAGUGUUGGAGAGGGAAGUAGAAUUUCAGGUGUAGCGGUGAAAUGCAUAGAGAUCUGAAGGAAUACCAGUGGCGAAGGCGACUUCCUGGCCAAAAACUGACGCUGAGGUGCGAAAGCGUGGGUAGCAAACGGGAUUAGAUACCCGAGUAGUCC
RNAcentral lists this ribosomal RNA (274 nucleotides) under uncultured bacterium. RNAcentral describes it as "partial 16S ribosomal RNA". It matches the Rfam family "Bacterial small subunit ribosomal RNA", at positions 523 to 796 of the family's 1533-position model. The record is from RNAcentral.